GAGAGAGAGACAUGCGCGCAUAUCAAUAAGCGGAGGAAAAGAAACUAACAAGGAUUCCCUUAGUAACGGCGAGUGAAGCGGGAAGAGCUCAAAUUUGAAAUCUUCAAGGUUCUACCUUGACGAAUUGUAGUUUAAAGAAGUGUUUUCUGUUGAAGUUUUGGUAAAAGUUCUUUGGAAUAGGACAUCAUAGAGGGUGAGAAUCCCGUAUUUGACCAUUAUUUUCCAGCUUUGUGAUACACUUUCAAAGAGUCGGAUUGUUUGGGAAUGCAGUCCAAAAUGGGUGGUAAAUUUCAUCUAAAGCUAAAUAUUGGCGAGAGACCGAUAGCGAACAAGUACCGUGAGGGAAAGAUGAAAAGAACUUUGAAAAGAGAGUUAAACAGUACGUGAAAUUGUCAAAAGGGAAGCGUUUGACACCAGUGUUGUUUUCUCGAAAAUCAAUUAAAAAUGGCUCGAUUUUGUAUUGCUUGAGACCUUAAAAGCUCACUGUACAUUUUUCGUGUCUUUUUUAAUGCACUUUUCGUUUAACAAGUCAACAUCAGUUUCUUUUGUUGUAAAAGGGUCAUUGGAAGGUGGCUUUCUUUUCGGAGAAAGUGUUUAUAGCCUUUGGCCUCUGCAAUCGAAGAGACUGAGGUCUGCAGCGUAGACUCUUCGGGGUUAGAUACAUUUGUGCUAAGUUAUAGCUUUUUAUAGACAACUUGUUGACUAUAAUUAGUCUUGUAGCUUACUCGCUUAUGCUAUUUUACCUACGCUUAGGAUGUUGAGUCGUAGAGCACGCAG
This 777-nucleotide ribosomal RNA is filed under the name uncultured Neocallimastigales. RNAcentral's name for it is "partial large subunit ribosomal RNA". It matches the Rfam family "Eukaryotic large subunit ribosomal RNA", at positions 23 to 626 of the family's 3401-position model. Lineage: Eukaryota; Fungi; Neocallimastigomycota; Neocallimastigomycetes; Neocallimastigales. The record is from RNAcentral.